UCUUCCCUCUGGCGGCGUGCCUAAUACAUGCAAGUCGAGCGAACGGACGAGAAGCUUGCUUCUCUGAUGUUAGCGGCGGACGGGAGAGUAACACGUGGAUAACCUACCUAUAAGACUGGGAUAACUUCGGGAAACCGGCGCUAAUACCGGAUGAUAUUUUGAACCGCAUGGUUCAAAAGUGAAAGACGGUCUUGCUGUCACUUAUAGAUGGAUCCGCGCUGCAUUAGCUAGUUGGUAAGGUAACGGCUUACCAAGGCAACGAUGCAUAGCCGACCUGAGAGGGUGAUCGCCCACACUGGAGCUGAGACACGGUCCAGGGUCCUACGGGAGGCAGCAGUAGGGAAUCUUCCGCAGUAGGCGAAAGCCUGACGUAGCAACGCCACGUGAGUGAUGAAAGUCUUGGGAUCGUAAAACUCUGUUACUAGGGAAGAACAUAUGUGUAAGUAACUGUGCACAUCUUGACGGUAACUGAUCAGAAAGCCACGGCUAACUACGUG
Molecule: ribosomal RNA, 497 nt
Filed under: uncultured bacterium
Lineage: Bacteria
Description: partial 16S ribosomal RNA
Rfam family: Bacterial small subunit ribosomal RNA
Source: RNAcentral